Molecule: transfer RNA, 82 nt
Filed under: Lupinus albus (white lupine)
Lineage: Eukaryota; Viridiplantae; Streptophyta; Magnoliopsida; Fabales; Fabaceae
Description: tRNA-Val
Rfam family: tRNA (bases 2-74)
About the family: Transfer RNA (tRNA) molecules are approximately 80 nucleotides in length. Their secondary structure includes four short double-helical elements and three loops (D, anti-codon, and T loops). Further hydrogen bonds mediate the characteristic L-shaped molecular structure. tRNAs have two regions of fundamental functional importance: the anti-codon, which is responsible for specific mRNA codon recognition, and the 3' end, to which the tRNAs corresponding amino acid is attached (by aminoacyl-tRNA synthetases). tRNAs cope with the degeneracy of the genetic code in two manners: having more than one tRNA (with a specific anti-codon) for a particular amino acid; and 'wobble' base-pairing, i.e. permitting non-standard base-pairing at the 3rd anti-codon position.
Source: RNAcentral
AGUUGCUGUGGUGUAGUGGUUAUCACGUUAGUCUUACACACUAAAGGUCCCCAGUUCGAUCCUGGGCAGCAACAUUAAGUAG